GAGUAAUGCCUAGGAAUCUGCCUGGUAGUGGGGGACGAACGUUUCGAAAGGAACGCUAAUACCGCAUACGUCCUACGGAGAAAGCAGGGACCUUCGGGCCUUGCGCUAUCAGAUGAGCCUAGGUCGGAUUAGCUAGUUGGUGAGGUAAUGGCUCACCAAGGCGACGAUCCGUAACUGGUCUGAGAGGAUGAUCAGUCACACUGGAACUGAGACACGGCCCAGACUCCUACGGGAGGCAGCAGCC
Molecule: ribosomal RNA, 244 nt
Filed under: uncultured Pseudomonas sp.
Lineage: Bacteria; Pseudomonadati; Pseudomonadota; Gammaproteobacteria; Pseudomonadales; Pseudomonadaceae
Description: partial 16S ribosomal RNA
Rfam family: Bacterial small subunit ribosomal RNA
Source: RNAcentral